GAUGAACGCUGGCGGCGUGCCUAAUACAUGCAAGUCGAGCGAACGGACGAGAAGCUUGCUUCUCUGAUGUUAGCGGCGGACGGGUGAGUAACACGUGGAUAACCUACCUAUAAGACUGGGAUAACUUCGGGAAACCGUAGCUAAUACCGGAUCAUAUUUUGAACCGCAUGGUUCAAAAGUGAAAGACGGUCUUGCUGUCACUUAUAGAUGGAUCCGCGCUGCAUUAGCUAGUUGGUAAGGUAACGGCUUACCAAGGCAACGAUGCAUAGCCGACCUGAGAGGGUGAUCGGCCACACUGGAACUGAGACACGGUCCAGACUCCUACGGGAGGCAGCAGUAGGGAAUCUUCCGCAAUGGGCGAAAGCCUGACGGAGCAACGCCGCGUGAGUGAUGAAGGUCUUCGGAUCGUAAAACUCUGUUAUUAGGGAAGAACAGAUGUGUAAGUAACUGUGCACAUCUUGACGGUACCUAAUCAGAAAGCCACGGCUAACUUCGUG
Molecule: ribosomal RNA, 497 nt
Filed under: uncultured bacterium
Lineage: Bacteria
Description: partial 16S ribosomal RNA
Rfam family: Bacterial small subunit ribosomal RNA
Source: RNAcentral